RNAcentral lists this ribosomal RNA (301 nucleotides) under Stenotrophomonas sp. LL76. RNAcentral's name for it is "bacterial SSU rRNA". It matches the Rfam family "Bacterial small subunit ribosomal RNA", at positions 56 to 351 of the family's 1533-position model. Lineage: Bacteria; Pseudomonadati; Pseudomonadota; Gammaproteobacteria; Lysobacterales; Lysobacteraceae. The record is from RNAcentral.
UGCAAGUCGAACGGCAGCACAGUAAGAGCUUGCUCUUAUGGGUGGCGAGUGGCGGACGGGUGAGGAAUACAUCGGAAUCUACUUUUUCGUGGGGGAUAACGUAGGGAAACUUACGCUAAUACCGCAUACGACCUUCGGGUGAAAGCAGGGGACCUUCGGGCCUUGCGCGAUUGAAUGAGCCGAUGUCGGAUUAGCUAGUUGGCGGGGUAAAGGCCCACCAAGGCGACGAUCCGUAGCUGGUCUGAGAGGAUGAUCAUCCACACUGGAACUGAGACACGGUCCAGACUCCUACGGGAGGCAG